Long non-coding RNA from Fukomys damarensis (Damara mole-rat), 1721 nucleotides. The record is from Ensembl. Lineage: Eukaryota; Metazoa; Chordata; Mammalia; Rodentia; Bathyergidae.
GAGACAGGGUCUCCCUGUACAAACCAGGUGGGUCCCAAAGUGGAGACCCUCCUGCCUCUGUCUUCUUGAGUGCUGGAGUUAGAAGUGUUCAUCAGUAUGUCAAGUGUGAAGGGCUUCUCUUUAGAGGACUCCUGAGAGAAGUUCAGAUACAAAGAGUAGCGCAUGAAGGAAGCUCAACAGUUUAGUGACAAUUAAGAAAAUGGACCCCAGCAAAUAUUAAUGCAAAACUGCAAGGAAAUGCAUAGAAGAUUUUCGUCAUGAGAUGGGGAGAAAUGUCUCCCAUUUGGAAGUUUAAAGGAAAGCACAAGAGCACAAAUGUGCAGAGACAAAGAUGUAUGAAAUGAAAGAGUUUCGGAAAGAAUAAAAGCAGAUGCUGUAGUUACAACUUGCAGCUUGCUACACAAGGGGCGCGCAUUCCGGAAGUGCGAGGACAUCUGAAGAGGACUGGAGUCACUUUGUUUUACAGACUUAGACUCAAAGAUCCUUGAAGUCUCACUCAACAUGUGCUGACCACUCCUGUAGACUGAGUGUUUCUGCUUGGGAAACCGUACAUUAAAAACGAGAUUUGGAGUUAGAUCAGUCCCUGUUUCUAGUCAACAAUGGAGGAGAAUGUUGCCAACCCUAUUAAAAGCAGAGAGCUCAGAGACAGAAACUGCACCCAUGUGCGUCCCAUUUUGACUGCUACUUGAGGACCAGAUCUCACUUUGGAGGGAAGCACAACAGAUUCACCCCAUCGCCUGCCAAGAAAAGGAAAUUUAUUGCUGAGAACAUCAUGGAUCCUCCUGACCUGGGCCCGGCUCCAGGCCCCGGAUUCCUCCUCAGCACAAUAGCAAGGCCUUUCUGAGUCUGCCGGGGAGAUGCCAACACUUCACGUGAUAGAACCUGAGCGUCCCAGGCGAUGUUCCAAAGCCCCAGUGUAGCACCAUCAUGCUGACCACCCUCUGACAUUCGCCUGCACUCUGCCCUGCUGAAGACAUUGAGAGCUGACAGACACUGGGAGUAACACUAGAUCGGCCUUGCAGAUGAAUUAUUUGAGAGUCUUUCUCUGCUCCAGGAACUGACUGUUACACACACAAGGUGCUUUCCCACAAUAACUUUAUUCUGUGAAAAACACUCUUUAUUCAGAUUUUCAUAAAGUGAAAAUUCUACUAAACAUAAUCCCUGUUACCUCCAGUACAAACCGCUGAAUUCUGUUACUAUUGACUAUUUUCAUAUUGUAAACUAUUUAGUUACAUAAUGCUUAUAAACUAUUGCAAUAGGUUGAAUGAUGGCUACAGAAAGACAUCAAAGCUUCAUCACUGGACUGGACCUUGUAAACAUUACCUAAUUUGGAAAUAUAAUUAAGGUGACUGACCUGAGGUUGGUCUGGACUACCCAGAUACCCCCUAACUGCUGUCACAAAUGUCAUGACGUAGAAACCCACAGGGAAAUUAGACACAGAAAAGAAGUCAAAGUGAAGGGAGUGGGGGAUCAGAGCUCUGUAGUCACAGAGAACUCUCAGGGUUCCUAGCAACCACAGAAAGCUAGGAGUUAGCGUGGAACAGAUUCUCCUCAGGAUCUCCAAACGAAACUGGCUCUGCCCCUGCCCUGCAUUGAACUUUUGGCCUCCACAGCUGGAAGAGAAGACAUUUCUAUUGUUUUAAGCCAACAACUUUGCAGCAAUUGCAGACUUAGUCAUUCUUAUGAAUGAAAUAUAUGAACUCUUGAUGCUAGAAUACCAC